CGGCGCUUCGAAGCAUCGUUCCCGGGUCGGGUCCGCGCGUUCGCCGCGACGCUCGCGUCCGGCGUUCCCGCUCCGACUCAGGUGUAGCAGGCGGCCGGGGACCCGAAAGAUGGCGAUCCACGCCCGGUCGGGACGAAGCCAGAGGAAACUCUGGUGGAAGUCCGAAGCGCCUCUGACGUGGAAAUCGAUCGUCGGAACCGGUGUAGGGGCGAAAGACCAAUCGAGCCGUCUAGUAGCUGGUUCCCUCCGAAGUUUCCCUCAGGAUAGCUGGCGCCAGCGGGAGAACGACACGCAAUUCCGUCCGGUAAAGCGAACGACUGGAGGCCCCGGGGACGUUGACGGCCUCGAUCUACUCUCGAAUCGGAACGGGCGAAACGGGCCGCUCCUCUCCCGAUCGGAGGCGGCCGCCGACGAAUAGUUAGGAAUAAUGAUAAUAAU
Octopus sinensis (East Asian common octopus) is the source of this 438-nucleotide long non-coding RNA. RefSeq lists it as uncharacterized. Lineage: Eukaryota; Metazoa; Mollusca; Cephalopoda; Octopoda; Octopodidae. The transcript has 4 exons. The record is from RefSeq and is a predicted model, not a curated record.